RNAcentral lists this ribosomal RNA (460 nucleotides) under uncultured bacterium. RNAcentral's name for it is "partial 16S ribosomal RNA". It matches the Rfam family "Bacterial small subunit ribosomal RNA", at positions 338 to 795 of the family's 1533-position model. The record is from RNAcentral.
CCUACGGGAGGCAGCAGUGAGGAAUAUUGGUCAAUGGGCGCUAGCCUGAACCAGCCAAGUAGCGUGAAGGAUGAAUGCCCUAUGGGUUGUACACUUCUUUUAUAUGGGAAUAAAGUGCAGUAUGUAUACUGCUUUUCAUGUACCUUAUGAAUAAGACUCGGCUAACUCCGUGCCAGCAGCCGCGUUAAUACUGAGGAUUCGCGUGUUAUCCGGAUUUAUUGUGUUUAAAGGUAGCAUAGUCGGGUUGUUAAGUCAUUUGUGAAAGUUUGCGGCUCAACCGUAAAAUUGCAUUUGAUACUGGCAUCAGUGAGUACAGUAGAGGUAGGCGGAAUUCGUGGUGUAGCGGUGAAAUGCUUAGAUAUCACGAAGAACUCCGAUUGCGAAGGCAGCCUGCUGGACUGUAACUGACGCUGAUGCUCGAAAGUGUGGGUAUCAAACAGGAUUAGAUACCCGUGUAGUC